AUUUGUCACACUCUUUUUGACUGUUAAUCUUUUUUAACCAAGUUUAUGUUCAAGCUAAAAAUGUUACUGAUAUUUUAGAUGAACAGAAUGAAGACGGAUCGUAUGCACCUAAAAACGAUUCCAAAAAUGCACUGUUACUUGGAUUGAAAAAUGAUAGCUUUUAUGAACCGGAAUGUGACUGUGGAUUCGGUUCAAAUGGAUGUCGCUAUAAUGUUUAUGGAGAAAAAGUUUGUGACUGUAGUGUUGAUUAUGCUCAAAACAAUGGCAGGUGUGAACACUGUUAUUGUGGAAUCCUAGCUAUCUCCUGUGAAUUCGAAAAUAAUAAAAAGAAGUGUUUGUGUUACUCAAAGUAUGCUCAAAAUCCUUACGAUCAAUGUGAAAGAUGUGAUUGUGGAUAUGAUGCAGAAGGUUGCCAUUUCAAUGGAUUCUCGAAGGUGUGCGUUUGUAGAGGGGGGUACAUAUAUGCAUCUAAUAAAUGCGAAUUGGAUGUAAUUAGUGGAUGGAGAAUUGCCACUUACAUUGAAUCUGCAAUUUUUGCCAUGAUCAUUAUCGUCUGCACUAUCAUAAUUUGCUGCAAAAGGUUUGCACCACAGAUCUCUUUUAUGUACUGGAUUGCUGAUUCAAUGAUUCGAACUUGAUGCCGGCGUUGGCGAAGAACUUCGGUGAGUUGAAGUAUACAGGGUAUCCAGAAUUCCAACGUCAUCACUCUCUCAUUUGCAACAUAAUUUUCACCUUUAAAUCAUCUGUCCACUAUUUCUUGUGUGCAUAUUGUUGUGCGUUAUCAGUUAUUUUAUUAGUUACUGGAACAUUAC
Molecule: non-coding RNA, 812 nt
Organism: Parasteatoda tepidariorum (common house spider)
Lineage: Eukaryota; Metazoa; Arthropoda; Arachnida; Araneae; Theridiidae
Source: RefSeq, a predicted model, not a curated record